CUCUUUUCCUGGGCAGGGACGAGGCGCCCUGGUGGAAGGGAGUCACGUGACACCUCGGAGGAGUCAGGGUGGAGGAAGAGGACAAGCUGGUUUCCCUUCCUGCUUCUGAGUAUUCUGAGGCCUGUCCACAGGUAAGGAGGCCGGGGAGGGGGAGGCCCUUCAGAAAGGGAAGGCACAGCCACGUUGGCUUCUCAGGAGUGUUUGUAUGGUGGAGAGUGGACGAGAAGAGAGAAGAAACUGGGGAAAACAAGCAGCUUGGCAUCAUACUGGCCUAAUAAGCUGAAGAGGCUGUCAUGAAAAAGUGGCAUGCAGGGAAGACCGAGCUGCAGGCCAGGCCUGCAGUAGAAGUGCAGGGUGCACUGUCCACUGGUUGUGUGGAAUGAAGGAAAAGAGGCUCUAAAACGGAUCGCGCUGCUGGAGGGCGGAGUGAACACUGCCUGGGAUUCAGGACCACGGGAGCAAACAGGACCAAGAAACGCACCCUGCUUUGGGCUGCUGAGUUUGAGUUACAUGCAGCUCUUUCAGUACAGCUGAGUUCAGAAAGUGACAGUCAGAUGCAGACUUCUGGGAACAGGGCUGUGAGACACUGGCCACAGCUACCACCAGGACAUGGAUGGGAGCCACCUGAGCAUACUGUUCCAUGUCCUCACAGAUGCCCAGUUUUCACGAAGAGAUUUUGAAUGCCUCUGAAGAUAUAGAUGUUUCACUCCUAAUUCACAGGACUUGAGACUAUACAGAGAUGGAUGUCAUGGGGUCCUCCAUCUCGUCCACGUUUUAGGAAUUAAACAAAGCCCAGGAAAAGACUCCUGGGUGGACAGAGUGACAGGCUCCCCAAACAUCAGGACCCUGCACCACGCAGGCCUUACCUCACUCUUUAGACCCAUUGCUAUGGCUUAGGUCUAAACUGGCUCCCAAAGCCUCACGUGUUCGGGAGGUGACUGAAUCAUGGGACCUCACAGCUAUGGGCUGUCAAGAGGUGGGGCCUGGUCAGAGGAGGGGUCACAGGGGGCAUGACCCGGAAGGGUUAUCUCCCCCGGCUCCUCCUUCACUCUCUGCUUCCUGUCUGCCAUGAGUUGAGCAGCUUUUCCUCCCCCAUUCCCUCUGCCCUGCCUUGGAGCCAGCAGAAUACAGACUGAAACCACUGCCAACUGUGAGCCACAAUAAACCUCUUCCCCUUUAAACUGUGAGCACUGGGUGUUGGUCCUCGCUGGCUAAGACAUCCACCUUCCCCCUCCUUGGCUUCAAGUCCUUCGGGGGGCACGGUGCUGCCUCAUACUCAGCCCCUGAUGCUGGAACACCCUCUCCUGCCCUCUGUCUCUUGAGAAGACCUACAAGUUUUCCUGAGACUCAACUCAUAUCCACUGCACCAAGAAGCCUACCAUGACCACCCACCCUGGGUGGGACAGGCCUCUCUGGGCUCGGCACACCUCCUGGCCCUUGUGUGCAUUCCUAGAGCAGAGCCGACACCACUGACAUUGAGCAGGAUGGUUUCGUGCCCCCUUUUCUGCUUCUGUGUUAGCAUUUUGGGGAUAGAGGCUAAAUCUCCCUCUGCUCCCACAGAAUAUCUGGCCCAGCGUGCGAGGCUCCAUCAGGAAGAAGGGAGAGCAAGGAGUAGGAUGGCAGGAAGACAGGAAGGGGCCCGGGCGGCCACAUCCAGGGGCUUGGAGAGGCUGGAGCGCAGGUAUGCGGGGUGAGGACCGGACCAGACUGGUGCCAGGGCACAAGGGGACCCCCCACACAUGCGCACAGAAUCAGGGCAAAGAAUCCAGCUUUGCCGGAGCCCUGAGUGGCAGCUCUAGGCACAGCCAAGCUCUGCCUGAAAACCUCACCGUAAACUCAGAUUCCGGCAUCCGGCUGUGGUCUUUCUUCUAGAACAACACAUGGAUUUUUCAAAGCAUUGAAAGGGCUGUUGCUUACUUACCGCUGCCCAGGGGACGAUCCACGGGAUCGCUGGAUGAGUCCUGGCCAAGGAUGACUCUCCUCCUGUGGUUCAGACAGGUCUGCGCAGGCUGCUCACCGGGACUUCCGCCGUUCUCAAGAGCUGCUGUCAUCUCCACAGCUGCAUCAGCUCCCCCAAGCCCUGGCGUCCCCCUGAGAUCUGAUCCUUGUGCCAGCCCCACAGUGACAGUCCCUAACUCAAGAUGGCGUGAUUCACAAGUUUUCGACUUUCCAGUGGUGUGAGAGCCUACUGCAUCAGGAGACCCUGCUGGUACCUGGGAGUUUGGAUUGCGACCUUCUCACGGCGGGCAGUACCCGGUGAACUCUCAUGCCACUGAGUGGCGGAGCUGGGAGUUUGGAAGGCUUGGUGUAUUGAGGGCAUUUUCCAUGGAGAAUAUUUUCAACGCACCAUGGCCUUUAUCAGGAGAGAGACCCAUCAUAAACAGAGGAGAACCUGUAAUUAUAAAAUAAUACACCACUGUUAUAGAUGAGUUGAAAACCAAUGUAGCAAAAAGAAGACCUAGAGACAACGGUGCUUAGAAAACACAAGUAUUCACUUACAAAGAGUCUUGCAUGUGAGUAAAUUUUAUGAGUGGCCUUCAACCAUGGUUGUAUGUAGAAUGCUCUGGGAAACUUAAACACCUGGUGUCCUGCCUACGCCCUGGACCACUGAAUCAGGAUGCCUGGGGUAGAAGCCACGCCAGUAUUCUGUAAGACUCCCCUCAGGAUCCCAAUUCACAGCUGCGGCAGAGAAAGACCGGCCUAGAAGGAUGGCUCACCAAAUAAAAACACAUAUGUGUGCAGAGGACAGACACAGAUGUGCAGGUUGCUAUUCGUGCUGGAUAAAUGACUAGCACACGUGCAAGGUCAUACACGGACACAGCCGUGGUGAAGACUGGCACCAAGCCAUGUAGUAAGGAGUUAGAGACAUACAGGACCCACUUAAGAUUUUACUUACUGGUGGGGCCAGAGCGGGCAGAAUGUCUCUAAUCCUGCAGGUGCUGUUUGCUUUUCCCCUGGCCUUGGGUGGUGAUAUACACACUUCUAACACAGGCCAGGUGCCUACUGUGCCUCUGCAUUAAGAAAUAUAUAAAGUCACAUUUAAAGUUUUUCUAAACUCCCAAAUCUACUCCUAAGAGCCAGCCACUGAUACUCUAGAUGCAAUACCUAUGCUUAUACAAAUUACACACACACACACACACACUUCAUCAUCAACAUCCUGUCGUGAGACAUCAGGUUAGCUCAUUUUUCAGUAGAUGCGUACUCAGCAGCUGAGCAUCCAGAUAAUUCAUCACAGACAUCAGUGUCAUAGUGAGUUCUCCCCACUCUUGCAAGGAAUACUGCAGCGGACCCAAUCACACGCUUAUCUUUGGCUGCGUACAAACAUGAGGACAGGUUCCUAGGGUUCCUAGAAGCUUGUUUGCUGGUUAAAUAGGCUCGGCCAAAAUGUCCUCCUAAGAGGCUGCAGCAGUUUACAUUUUCUCCUGGUAAAGUAAGAGAAUAUCCACUGCCCCACACCCUUCUCAAUACCGGUCUUUAUUUUUUGAAUUGGCUCCCCUAGUGGAUACCAGAAAGGACUUGGCAAUCUUUUAGAAGUUAUACAAAUGAAAGAUAGAUAUGCAAAUGAAAAGUCACCUUUUCUGAAAGGUCCAGCUUCAAGCCCUAGACACACAAACCUGAGAAGGUGGUACCAUCUAGGGGCUCCCCUGUCGCUUUCUGGAAAGAUACCAAUUAUUUAGGCAGAAAAGGUACAUUGUAAAUAAUGAAUAACAGGGAACUUCUUCCGGAAGGCUGCAGCUUUUCCCAGGGGUAGCGACUGUGGUAGCAGAUGUGCCGCCCAAAAUUUCCCUGAGCCUCCCCAGCAGGGGCGAUCUGGGAGAUUUGCCUGUACUCUGAACAGAGCCUUUACUCCAUCUGUGUUCUCUUUUAUGGCUUUUGAUUUCAAUCAGUCAUUGGGCUGCUGAGGGUGAGAGGCUUCCACUGUCACUAACUCACAGGCACAGUGCAGGGGACUGAAGCCACCUCCCCAUCGAGUUUGGCUUCAAAACAAAGGGUUGGACCCCACGGCUGUUUUCUCGCCUGGGGAGCCCCUUGCCCCAGCACAGACCCAAGAACUCCUAGGCCCCUUCGGUCUCAUCAGACCAGUUCAUUCCAAGAACCUUCACUGACUCUUGUAGAGGUGACUCUCCUGCCUCUGCCUCCUACACAUUGCAUGAAUAACUGCAACCUGCAAUGUGCUGCUCAAUAAUUCAUGUGUGCGCCUUUUCUCUGACCCCAUCUUCCAGCUGUGCUGCUGGGUCUUAUUUAUCUUUGCAUCUCCAGUAGGCGGUGCCUGGUAAGUUUGCUGAACGGAUGUGUCUCCAUUUUGAAUCCCUGCCGGGGCUGGGCAGCAUCACCCAUCACCUCUGGCAUCUACACUGCCCCCCCAGUUCACAGCUCCUGGACCUUUCCCAGCUUCCCCGGAGUCUCUGAUGGGCCACAUGACUAGUUCUGGCCUGGGCACACGUGUGACUGAAGUAUUGUGUGGCACUUCCUGCCAGAGGCCAGGAGGAGGUUGCUCUCUCUCCUGCUGCCACGGCUGGAGGCCAAGAACUCAGAAAGCAGGACUCAGGAUGGAGACAGAGCAAGUCUGUCCUCGCUGCGGAGAGUAGAAGGAAGCGUGGGGCUGGGCUUUGCUGUCAUAGCCAAGUUCGGCCUGGCCUGACCGAAGCGGCCUGUGGACUUCACAGGACCUGUGUGGGAGAGAAGGCCCGAAACAGGAGCGUGUCACUUGGUCACCAGGCCUCUCGUCCCUCAGCAAGUCAGGGUGGUGCCGGAGAUUCUAGGCUUAAAUCACUCUCUGAGCGAGUGCAGCUUUCCUGUGCUGACAGAGACACACUCCCAUCCACAGAGAAGGAAGCAACCCCGGGCCAGACCCAGAUUCCAGCCACACUAUUUCUGAUGCUCUGCCAGGAGACAGUGGUCCUCCCUCAAGCCCAGGUCCUCUGGGGUUCGUACUCUAGGAAUAAGGUUGACCUAUUUAGAAAUGGGACAGACUCCACGUCUCUGCAGCUAACUCCACUGAAGGAUGUCCGUGUUGAAGUAGCAUGGUGGUAAAAAGGUUAACACCAAAUUUGAAGUUUAUUCCUAAGCAGACAUCCUGAGCCCCAGGGAAAGACAGCAGCUGCCCCGUGGCCCAGAUAAUGCAAUAUCAGGGUGAACAAGGACAUCAUGGAACGUUCUGUUCUCCUCCCCUGAGACCAAUUAAAAUCUGCAGGCAUCUUUCCUGUUGACCAGGCUGACUGGCUAAUUGAAACAGGAUUGUGAUAUUUUCAUCCCUGUUCUCUGAUCCCUGCCUGUCUUGCCAGCAGAAAGCAAGCUCUGUGAUCCUCAGCUCCAAGCCACUGAGGCCGAGCGCACGGCUCUAUGCCCAGCCUAGAAGCAGAAUGUCCAGACGAAAGAGGCAUGGGCGAGUCGGGGCGUGGUGGUACCCCCAGACCUCGGUCUCCGUUUAUCCAGAGGAGAAACAACCUCCCAAGAAAAUCUACCUGCCGGGGAUUUAGCUCAGUGGUUCCACCAUCUGCCUUGCAAGUGGAAGGACCCGAGUUCAAUCCCCGGUACCAAAAAAAAAAACAAAACAAGAAAGUCUACCUGGUGAGCAAGACAUAUGCUGCCUUUGCUACGGGUUCUCCUGUGACCUCACCCCACAGCCUAUGCUGGGGCGCAGAGCCCUGCCGAAGCCCAGCAGGGCACCUUCAUCUCGCUGACACCCCAGGAGCCACGUAACCUUAGGGUACCCCACACAGCACCACGCCCUGGAGGGCUGCACAUUCCAGCUGUGUGCAGCAGCCCGCACAGCAGGCCCACGAUGGGAGUCUUUCUCUCCUCUCCAAACCUACCCAGAAGCUGGGCCAGCAUCGGUUCUGGCUCAAGGAGGCUCUGGUUGACAAGAUCUCGGGAAGAAGAACAACACUCAUAACUCCAGGACAAAGACUUCAGCCUCAGCACCUGUCCCUGAGCUUCCUAAAGAAGUGCAGACGCAGGGGCAGCCCGGCAGGCAGACCGUGUCGGCCUGGAAGCCACUUCUCACCGCACUGGCUUGAGAGGCUAUGAACCGAGUGCUGCGUCCCCUAAACUGUCUGCCCUGAAGCCCUAACCCCCAAGUGAUGGAGUGAGGAGGUGGAACUUGUUAGGUCUUGGGUGGAGACUCAUGAUGGCAUUGUGUUCUCAUUAGAAAGGACUCGGGGACCAGAGUUAAUGGAAACGCCUUCUGUGUUCGAAAUGUUCCUGGAGAGAUUGUGAGUGUUCUACUGCAAAACAAAAACAAAAACGUGUGGCCCUGGGAGGUGCUGGAUAUGUCAGUUAGCUUUAUUGUGAUAAUUAUUUUGUAACCAAUUUGUUCUGUGUUAAUAAACCUGUUUUGGUGAUGGAAAACAAUGUUCCCUCCUUAAAUGUGGGAGCAAGCCAAGAAUGCCUGUUC
This is a non-coding RNA of Heterocephalus glaber (naked mole-rat), 6397 nucleotides long. The record is from RefSeq and is a predicted model, not a curated record. Lineage: Eukaryota; Metazoa; Chordata; Mammalia; Rodentia; Bathyergidae.